Molecule: transfer RNA, 72 nt
Filed under: Parcubacteria group bacterium CG2_30_36_38
Lineage: Bacteria
Also listed under: 1 other name
Description: tRNA-Phe
Rfam family: tRNA
About the family: Transfer RNA (tRNA) molecules are approximately 80 nucleotides in length. Their secondary structure includes four short double-helical elements and three loops (D, anti-codon, and T loops). Further hydrogen bonds mediate the characteristic L-shaped molecular structure. tRNAs have two regions of fundamental functional importance: the anti-codon, which is responsible for specific mRNA codon recognition, and the 3' end, to which the tRNAs corresponding amino acid is attached (by aminoacyl-tRNA synthetases). tRNAs cope with the degeneracy of the genetic code in two manners: having more than one tRNA (with a specific anti-codon) for a particular amino acid; and 'wobble' base-pairing, i.e. permitting non-standard base-pairing at the 3rd anti-codon position.
Source: RNAcentral
GCCUGGGUAGCUCAGUGGUAGAGCGCGACGCUGAAAACGUUGAUGUUGACAGUUCGAUUCUGUCCCCAGGCA